This 74-nucleotide transfer RNA is filed under the name Homarus americanus (American lobster). RNAcentral describes it as "tRNA-Val". The stretch from base 5 to 70 matches the Rfam family "tRNA". Rfam says of the family: Transfer RNA (tRNA) molecules are approximately 80 nucleotides in length. The record is from RNAcentral. Lineage: Eukaryota; Metazoa; Arthropoda; Malacostraca; Decapoda; Nephropidae.
GUGCCUCAUGGUGUAGUGGUUAUCACAUCUGUCUAACACACAGAAGGUCCCAGGUUCGAUCCCUGGUGAGCACA